Long non-coding RNA from Sceloporus undulatus (fence lizard), 1153 nucleotides. RefSeq lists it as uncharacterized. The transcript has 3 exons. NCBI's taxonomy places the organism in Eukaryota, Metazoa, Chordata, Lepidosauria, Squamata, Phrynosomatidae. The record is from RefSeq and is a predicted model, not a curated record.
CUGCAUUAUUUCUACAGUGUAGAUGCAGCCCUAGUUAGUCUACAGUAAGAAUAACUAAAGAGAAAAUUAAAAGUGAGAACAGCACAAAUAUAUAAUAUUAAAAAACAAUUUAUAGCAAAUUUUAUUAUUAACACAGAAUUGAAUUAAAGGAAAUUAAAAGCACAGCAAUGAGGAAAUGAGAGCAAUAAUCUGUUAAAAGCCCCUUCUUCAGGAGCUCUCCAUGAAUAAAUAGGAACUUUCUUGCUGGUAGAGGGCAACUGUGAGGUCUGCAUAGCCCCCCAUAGAAAGGAGUUCCCCAAGGUGAGAGCAAUUGUAGAGGAUUUGUUUGGGCUCACCACAUAUUCUAUGACUAGUCAGGGGCACAUUCACACUACAGAAUUGCAGCACUAUUAUUUCUCUUUAGCUGUCAUGGUCCCUUCCUAUGGAAUCCUGGGUUUGUAGUCUGUGGUGGCACUAGAGCUCUGUUGCUGAGAAUUCUUAUUGUUUCUGUAGUCAAAGUUUUCAUUGGAUGGAAUCAUGGCAGUUAAAGUGGAAUAACAGCACUAUAACUCUGUCAAGCAGAUGGACCCCUGGAGCAUCCAGUCAUAAUGCAGUUGGAUGAAACCUCAAAACAGAACAAGAACGGAUCAAAGUACGUAUGUGAAAAUAAUGUCUGUGUCUUCAGCCAUCCCCUUAAGAUGACAGGACACAUGUCAAGAAUAAUGAAGAAAAAUAGAGGAGCACAUCUAGCCCAUCAGAAGAAAUAAAUCUCUUUGCCUUAAUCCCCGCCUGUUGUUUGUUUCAUCAGAAAGAAGUUGACAAAUGGCAAGCCAAUACGAUGUGUAGUUCUUCCAAUCACAUCUGAUACUAAUUUCCAAAGAAGACACCAAAUACGCUAAGAAUGUUACAAGACUAGUAAGAAGGAAGAUUUGACAUGAAUCUUUUCGUUGUGAUGCUGACCGCAGGGAGUCCAGUACCUUCAAUAUUCAAACCUCCUCUUUGUUCUCUCCUCGCCUUUCAUUGAAAAGAAGAUGAGCUUUUGUACAUUGUUGGUUAACAUUCCACCAUUUUGUGUUGUGAUAUAAAUAAUUUAAUGCGCUUCCUCACAUGCCAUUUAUAUUAUUUUGAAAGAAGAGCAGCUUUGCUUUAUUUUCUUACUUUACAAAAUCUGAAA